This 255-nucleotide ribosomal RNA is filed under the name uncultured bacterium. Its description in RNAcentral is "partial 16S ribosomal RNA". It matches the Rfam family "Bacterial small subunit ribosomal RNA", at positions 524 to 776 of the family's 1533-position model. The record is from RNAcentral.
UACGUAGGGUGCGAGCGUUUGUCCGGAAUUACUGGGCGUAAAGAGUUCGUAGGCGGUUUGUCGCGUCGUUCGUGAAAACUUGGGGCUUAACUCCAAGCGUGCGGGCGAUACGGGCAGACUUGAGUACUACAGGGGAGACGUGGAAUUCCUGGUGUAGCGGUGAAAUGCGCAGAUAUCAGGAGGAACACCGGUGGCGAAGGCGGGACUCUGGGCCGAUACUGACGCUGAGGAGCGAAAGCGUGGGGAGCAAACAGG